RNAcentral lists this long non-coding RNA (1925 nucleotides) under Coccomyxa subellipsoidea. Its description in RNAcentral is "long non-coding RNA (CSUB_LNC000215)". The record is from RNAcentral. Lineage: Eukaryota; Viridiplantae; Chlorophyta; Trebouxiophyceae; Coccomyxaceae.
CACGCCGGGCGAGGCGAUGCCAGGCAUGGGCCCGACAUGGUCCACAUUUGAGAGGCGGCUAUACGCAAGGCUCUGCUGCGGUGCUGGCGAGCCGAAGCCUCCAUUGCUCGGCGCAUACCCCUGUCGAAGUGACAAGUGUCAGGGCAGUGUUGUCAUGCAGCACAUUUGGACAGGGAGUUACCCGCUUGCUGUAUGGCGCAUAAUGCGACUCAGUGCCUUUCAGCGUUUCAAUUUCAGUAUGGAGGUCUGGGCAUCAAAUGAGGAUAUAGCCCAGUUCAAAUUCAGUAAUCUUCCCAUUUUGCAGUCUCAUGAAACUCCGCGACCAAUCAGUGCAAAUGGAAACAAUCGUUCGGCAACAAAAGAGCCGCCUCAUCAAAAAAUUGCCAUCAACUGUCUGGUCCAUUAUUACUUGCAAAUUCCCACGAUACUGACUUGGCCUCGCUGCUUGCUCCCAAUGAGGUGCAGAUGCUUCUGUUUUUUGUAUUUCAGCCACUCUCAGCCAAAGGGCAAUUAUAGAUCGAAACGAUCUGGUGCAAUCAUGGCAGCAAGCCUUACAGAACAGGUUCUUGGCAGAAUCAGCAUGACAGCCAUUAUGGCAGCAGAUGCCAUGCAGAAAUUUUUGGGAUGAGCUGGGACGAUGCAGAAACUCAGACCAGACGCCGCCAGCAUUCCAUCCAGCAAGAUCACAGGUUUUUCCAGACACAGUAUUGCCGUUGCAACGUGUCCGUCCCUUUGCGCUCCAAAUCUAAUCGGGCUUUUCUCCUCAAUAAUGGGCUCGUAUACUGCAGCCUUCGCGCUGCUUGCCAUGCUCAAAUAUUUUCAGAUCACAUGGCAAGCUGCCAGCAGCUUCAGGUGGAUUCUGAGCACUCACCAGGUUGGUGGGCCUCGGCUGCUUCAGGCGCGGGUCUCCAUACACAUCUGCCCACGUCAGAAACGCCCAAUGAGUCGCACAGAUCACCUCGGCAGGUUAUACAGUCAGCGGCGUGACAAUCUCAGCAGGCUGCACUCUCCUCGAUGCUAUACACGAUCACAGUCGAAUGCGCUGUCGGCCGUUCUGUUGACCCUGCCUUCAGUAUCAUGAUUUGACAAGACGCAGUACCAUGACACAUAUCAGUCAUGCGCAAGAAGCAGAGCAAAAUUUGCAGCAUGAGGAUCGCCGCAGAAUUGCCGGCAGAUGGCGCACUGAAGUGUGCUGCUUGAUCUCGAAUUCCAAAAACACUUCUUUGGUACAUGCACGGAAUUCGGUUGCCAAUUGGCCAAUAGGACCCCAUCUUCAAAUGAAGGUAAAGGGAUCUUAUGAGACUCAACCUCUGUAGCUGCAUAAUUCUUGGAUCACUGUGCUAUCAUUCUGUGCGAACAGGCUGUUUUCAGCGGUUUCCAAAAUUCUCUCCCAGAAAGACGAUUGUCCAAUCCUUCCACUUUGCCAAUGGCGCAUGUGGAAAAGCUUCCCAAUUGAAGGUAGACAUGCAUACGAGGUAGCAGGGCAUGCAUAACAGAUGCCGCAUGCAUGCUGGAAGAACCAAGAAGCCUGAGUUCUGGGUGGUAGGUCUACCCGUGCGCAGCCAGAAUUUCAGAGCUAGCUGAUCAUGCUUAAUUCUUCAGUAGACCAGAAGACUUUUGUACGGGUGCAACAGAGAGCACAAACAAGAUGAGCCGCUUGCAAAUGUUAUCACUAACUGGCAGAAGCACAGAGCAUAGCAGUGGGAAGAUGAAGAAUGUAGCAGAGUUAGUCUCCUUGCUGCUCCUUAGAAAUAUUUGAUGCGGUAUCAUUGGGGGCGAAAAGUUUUAUUAGGAUCUAGCAGGAGUCCUGUAGAGCUGCUCAUACCUGGGCCUUCACGGCUGCGCUUCAGUGGUUGACCAGCUGUUGGCAGCGGCUGCAUUGUCUUCAUGACCAGGCCUGAAGAACUCCAGCCCCUCCACCCGUG